RNAcentral lists this ribosomal RNA (615 nucleotides) under Nostoc sp. F25. RNAcentral's name for it is "bacterial SSU rRNA". It matches the Rfam family "Bacterial small subunit ribosomal RNA", at positions 82 to 731 of the family's 1533-position model. The record is from RNAcentral. Lineage: Bacteria; Bacillati; Cyanobacteriota; Cyanophyceae; Nostocales; Nostocaceae.
ACUUCGGGUGAUAGUGGCGGACGGGUGAGUAACGCGGGAGAAUCUAGCUCUAGGUCGGGGACAACCACUGGAAACGGUGGCUAAUACCGGAUGAGCCGAACGGUAAAAGAUUAAUUGCCUAGAGAUGAGCUCGCGUCUGAUUAGCUAGUAGGUGUGGUAAGAGCGCACCUAGGCGACGAUCAGUAGCUGGUCUGAGAGGAUGAUCAGCCACACUGGGACUGAGACACGGCCCAGACUCCUACGGGAGGCAGCAGUGGGGAAUUUUCCGCAAUGGGCGAAAGCCUGACGGAGCAAUACCGCGUGAGGGAGGAAGGCUCUUGGGUUGUAAACCUCUUUUCUCAGGGAAUAAGAACUGAAGGUACCUGAGGAAUAAGCAUCGGCUAACUCCGUGCCAGCAGCCGCGGUAAUACGGAGGAUGCAAGCGUUAUCCGGAAUGAUUGGGCGUAAAGGGUCCGCAGGUGGCCUUGUAAGUCUGCUGUUAAAGAGUGAGGCUUAACCUCAUAAAAGCAGUGGAAACUACAAAGCUAGAGUGCGUUCGGGGUAGCAGGAAUUCCUGGUGUAGCGGUGAAAUGCGUAGAGAUCAAGAAGAACAGCGGUGGCGAAAGCGUGCUACUA